Daphnia pulicaria is the source of this 901-nucleotide long non-coding RNA. RefSeq lists it as uncharacterized. The record is from RefSeq and is a predicted model, not a curated record. NCBI's taxonomy places the organism in Eukaryota, Metazoa, Arthropoda, Branchiopoda, Diplostraca, Daphniidae. The transcript is spliced from 5 exons.
AGGGGAGAAUAUUACUGUGUUUAGGGAUUAAACUAUUCAGCUCUAGUGUGUUGGUAGAGGGAUGUAUUGGAAAGAGGGUCUCCAUAGUUUUGAGACGAAAAACCUAAAAAGGCUAAAAAUCUAAAAUCAUUCUUUUUCUUCCGAGACGCUGGCCGAGAAGGUUACUCCGUUACUCUAGACAUCAUUGCUGGGUACUUUCUUUCCUGACAUUGUUCUUCAUAAAAAAAGGUUGAUUGAGAUUUUUCUCAGCGUCCAGUGCCAAAUCGACAAGAUGCCUCUGAUGUAUCAUGUUGCGAGAUGAAAAUGGGAAGAAAACAGGAAAUCUGAAAUGAUUCCUCGGGUCAGUUUGGCGUUGAAGCUGCUGGUGGUAAUGUCUGGCGUACAGUGGUGUGGCAGUCAUUUUGUGAUUGAAAGUUGCACUGAAAUGGAUCUUCUGCAGACCUGCAGUUCAACUGACUUCAAUUUACCAUGUUGGUGUCCAUGCAGUGUUGAACUUUUGUGUGAAAUAGUUGGUGUUGCCUGAUGGUCGUCUUACAUUUUGGUGUCGUCUCUUGCUACAUUUACCCACGUUAAGUUCGAUCGUAUGCCGCCGUUUCAGACUUGAUCCAUUGUUGAAGCUGAGGAGUUGCUGAAAUUCAAGACUGAUAAAUCAUUAGAUUUAUAUCAAUUGAAAAUGCAAAUCUUUUGUCCCUUUUCCCUAAGUAAACAAAAUGUCCUGUUGGUUAGUUAGAAAACCAGUGGUGUAAUGAUCGAAUGAGGAACUGUAACGAGAAAGAAAAGUUAAACCACCAAAAUUCUUUUACUCCGAUGAAUUCUACCGCUUUCACAACGAUUCUUAAACAUUUCGCUCUUAAUCAAUAUUAUUACCUCGUUAAAAAAAUAUAAAUUGUUGAAACCAAAA